UACGUAGGGUGCGAGCGUUGUCCGGAAUUAUUGGGCGUAAAGGGCUCGUAGGCGGUUUGUCGCGUCGGGAGUGAAAACACCGGGCUUAACUCGGUGCUUGCUUUCGAUACGGGCAGACUAGAGGCAUGCAGGGGAGAACGGAAUUCCUGGUGUAGCGGUGAAAUGCGCAGAUAUCAGGAGGAACACCGGUGGCGAAGGCGGUUCUCUGGGCAUGUCCUGACGCUGAGGAGCGAAAGCGUGGGGAGCGAACAGG
RNAcentral lists this ribosomal RNA (253 nucleotides) under uncultured bacterium. RNAcentral describes it as "partial 16S ribosomal RNA". It matches the Rfam family "Bacterial small subunit ribosomal RNA", at positions 524 to 776 of the family's 1533-position model. The record is from RNAcentral.